This is a long non-coding RNA of Oncorhynchus tshawytscha (Chinook salmon), 1382 nucleotides long. The record is from Ensembl. Lineage: Eukaryota; Metazoa; Chordata; Actinopteri; Salmoniformes; Salmonidae.
UUUAACACCUUGUAGAGUCAACAUGGGCCAGCAUCCCUGUGGAACGCUUUCAACUCCUUGUAGAGUCAACAUGGACCAGCAUCACCGUGGAACGCUUUCAACUCCUUGUAGAGUCAACAUGGGCCAGCAUCCCUGUGGAACGCUUUCAACUCCUUGUAGAGUUCAUGCCCUGAGAAUUUAGGCUGUUCUGAGGGCAAAAGGAGGUGCAACUCAAUAUUAGUAAGGUGUUCUUAAUGUUUUGUAUACUCAGUGUGUACUAUAAUGCAUUGUGCCUCUCAAGGGGGUGGAAACUGAGGCUAGACUGGGCCUGACUGAAGGCUGGCUGGCCUGAUGCAUUAUGACCUGAAGCUCACAGGCAUUUACAAUGCCCUCCACCAAUCCCCUGGCCUGUUACUGUUAGGUUGAAUGCCCUCCACCAAUCCCCUGGACUGUUACUGUUAGGUUGAAUGCCCUCCACCAAUCCCCUGGCCUGUUACUGUUAGGUUGAAUGCCCUCCACCAAUCCCCUGGACUGUUACUGUUAGGUUGAAUGCCCUCCACCAAUCCCCUGGACUGUUACUGUUAGGUUGAAUGCCCUCCACCAAUCCCCUGAACUGUUACUGUUAGGUUGAAUGACUAACGAUGAACCCUACCUACAGUGAUUUGCUCUGACAGCAUUUUCUAUGUUAAUUUGACUAAUGAGUAACAUUUAAGUAUUUUUUUAGAGAUACUCAUGUCAACAAAUGAAUUUAGUUUAUUUUACAGGGAGAGGUGUAUGAACAGGGGAUGGACACUAUGAGGAAAUGGGAGGGGAGAGGAGGGGAGAGAUGAUGUCAAAUAGUUUUAUAUCCUGAAUGAUGAACCAUGUCUCUGACAUGUUGUAUUUUAUUGGAGCUGUGGAUGUGGCUAGCUCUGGUCCAGGGGGUUAGUGCAUUCCUCGCUGACGCCCUGGACCAGAGCUAGUUGUGGUUAACUGUGGUAGAGAGAAAUAUAAUUUUAAAAUGCUGUAAUUUCAAGUAAAUAAGAAAAGAAACCCAAGACCUUACUUUAAAGACAAGAUCAAAGCUGCUCUCCCUAAUGAGGAGUUGUACAUAUAAAUGUAUUUGAACAAAGUAUUAUUUGCAAUAUUAUAAUGUACAGAAUUGUAUUUAUAAUGUAUCUCAACAAACUGUUUUAAUUGGUACAAAGAUGUUCUAGAAUACAGAACGUUUACGAUCUAAACACUUGUUGUGUGUCGCCUCUUAUUUGCAUUCAAUCAAUUGAGUCAAUGCAGGUAUUUAUUGAGACUCGUGCAACUAUUUGUUCCUGAUUAUAGCCUCAUUGAAGUGUUUGAGUGUAAUUCAAGGUGUCGAGUAGGAAUAAUUAUACGGAAACAAAAAUAUAAACGCAACGUGUAAAGUGUUG